GCAAAGCACACUGAGCCAACUGAGAUAUCUUUUACCAGAUCCUUAAAUUCUUGAUUGGCUGCCAAAUCCCCACAGCGAUGAUCCGUGCACAUUAUCUCCCCUCAUCUUUUGGAAACCAAAACAUUUUUAUUUUCCACAAGUAGUAUGAUGAUCACACAGUUGCAGAAAUGGAGGCGAUAAUAUAAUGGUCCAGACU
Non-coding RNA from Misgurnus anguillicaudatus (oriental weatherfish), 196 nucleotides. The record is from RefSeq and is a predicted model, not a curated record. Lineage: Eukaryota; Metazoa; Chordata; Actinopteri; Cypriniformes; Cobitidae.